Molecule: transfer RNA, 72 nt
Filed under: Branchiostoma floridae (Florida lancelet)
Lineage: Eukaryota; Metazoa; Chordata; Leptocardii; Amphioxiformes; Branchiostomatidae
Description: tRNA-Pro (TGG) (tRNA-Pro-TGG-5-1)
Rfam family: tRNA
About the family: Transfer RNA (tRNA) molecules are approximately 80 nucleotides in length. Their secondary structure includes four short double-helical elements and three loops (D, anti-codon, and T loops).
Source: RNAcentral
GGCCUGUUGGUCUAGGAAUAUGAUUCUCGCUUUGGGUGCGAGAGGUCCCGGGUUCAAAUCCCGGACAGGCCC